This 714-nucleotide ribosomal RNA is filed under the name Calopterygidae environmental sample. Its description in RNAcentral is "SSU rRNA". It matches the Rfam family "Eukaryotic small subunit ribosomal RNA", at positions 701 to 1343 of the family's 1831-position model. Lineage: Eukaryota; Metazoa; Arthropoda; Insecta; Odonata; Calopterygidae. The record is from RNAcentral.
GGACGGUCGGUUCGCCGCUUGUCGGUGCUCAACUGGCCGGUCCGGACGUCCUGCCGGUGGGGCCGCGAGGCCCCGUUAUCCUUCUUUGGUCCUCUUCACCGAGUGCCUUGGUGGGCCGGCACGUUUACUUUGAACAAAUUAGAGUGCUCAAAGCAGGCCGUUGGUCGCCUGAAUACUGUGUGCAUGGAAUAAUGGAAUAGGACCUCGGUUCCAUUUUGUUGGUUUUCAGAACUCGAGGUAAUGAUUAAUAGGGACGGACGGGGGCAUUCGUAUUGCGACGUUAGAGGUGAAAUUCUUGGAUCGUCGCAAGACGAACCGAUGCGAAAGCAUUUGCCAAGAACGUUUUCGUUGAUCAAGAACGAAAGUUAGAGGUUCGAAGGCGAUCAGAUACCGCCCUAGUUCUAACCAUAAACGAUGCCAGCUAGCCAUCCGCCGAAGUUCCUUCUAUGACUCGGCGGGCAGCUUCCGGGAAACCAAAGCUCUUGGGUUCCGGGGGAAGUAUGGUUGCAAAGCUCAAACUUAAAGGAAUUGACGGAAGGGCACCACCAGGAGUGGAGCCUGCGGCUUAAUUUGACUCAACACGGGAAACCUCACCAGGCCCAGACACCGGUAGGAUUGACAGAAUAAGAGCUCUUUCUUGAUUCGGUGGGUGGUGGUGCAUGGCCGUUCUUAGUUGGUGGAGCGAUUGUCUGGUAAUCNGAUACAACGGAUCGC